This 465-nucleotide ribosomal RNA is filed under the name uncultured bacterium. RNAcentral's name for it is "partial 16S ribosomal RNA". It matches the Rfam family "Bacterial small subunit ribosomal RNA", at positions 338 to 795 of the family's 1533-position model. The record is from RNAcentral.
CCUACGGGUGGCAGCAGUGGGGAAUAUUGCGCAAUGGGCGAAAGCCUGACGCAGCGACGCCGCGUGAGGGAUGAAGGUCUUCGGAUCGUAAACCUCUGUUAGCAGGGAAGAACGGUCACUGUGCUAAUCAGCAGUGAAUUGACGGUAACUGCAAAGGAAGCACCGGCUAACUCCGUGCCAGCAGCCGCGGUAAUACGGAGGGUGCGAGUGUUAAUCGGAUUUACGGGGCGUAAAGCGCGCGUAGGCGGUAUGUCAAGUCAAGUGUGAACUCCACGGGCUCAACGUGUGAACUGCCUUUGAAACUGGCUAACUGGAGUGUUUGAGAGGAUAGUGGAAUUCCAGGUGUAGGAGUGAAAUCCGUAGAUAUCUGGAGGAACAUCAGUGGCGAAGGCGACUAUCUGGCACAUAACUGACGCUGAGGAGCGAAAGCGUGGGUAGCAAACAGGAUUAGAUACCCUUGUAGUC